Long non-coding RNA from Lactuca sativa (garden lettuce), 989 nucleotides. RefSeq lists it as uncharacterized. The record is from RefSeq and is a predicted model, not a curated record. Lineage: Eukaryota; Viridiplantae; Streptophyta; Magnoliopsida; Asterales; Asteraceae.
GAAAAGUAAGCCAAAAACGCUAAUACCUACAUCGACUUGGUAAACCCUUUCAUCUUUCUGUACAAUCGGCCCACAUAAACUAAAAUUUCUUAGAAAAUCUUCUUGCUCUUAAACUUUGGUUAUGAUUUAUUUCAUGAACGUGAGAGAAUUCAGGGGAUGCUUCGUGAUGGUGGUCUAAAGAAACAUCAGGGGAUGCAAACCUGAUUAUAAUGGUACUGCCUCCAUCUCUAUAAUUAUCGAUACCACCAGUUUUCUCAUCGUUCUUUCGUAAUUCAAUCGAAAAUUUUGAAUUCAUUCGCCUAAACCAAGGAUUUGGGAGGAAUUUAUGGAUAGCGGACUCCAUUCUAUAGGGAGGGCUUGCCAACGACGAUAUCUAAAGUGGAAAAACAACGUUGGAGAUAAUCAUCAAAAAAUUCUUCGUUAAGACCUUCAAUUCUAUUUGGUUUCUUCUAUUGUCUCACUUGGCUUCACAUCGCCGGAAGGUUGUGGAAGGAUGCUGAGAACAGAACAUUAUUGUCUAAUUUUCUCAUUAAGAAUUAUUCUCAUAGACCAAAGAUUCCUACUGUUGAAGAAAAGCUAAUGGUCCUAGGAUGCAAGUAAAUUUUGGGUCUUCCUAUUUCUCUUUUGCAUUAUGUUCUAGGAUUAAUUUGAUGAGUUAACUGUCUUAUGGGCACAAUUGUCUUUUUCAAGGAUUUAGAGAGAAGAAUUGUGGAAAUUGAGAUGGAAAUAACACUAGCAAAAGUCAAGGUUUUCUUAGCAACCAAUUGAAAUCAUCUUCUAACAAAAGGUUUCUUGAUGUGAUUGGCAUUUACACUGGAUUUGGUGACAAAUUAAGAAGAAAUUAUUUGAGAGGAUCAUGGAUGCCUAAAAGUCGGUUUAUGACAAAAUAAUAUUUUAAAUUUCUUUCUAUUGUUACUCUAUGUUUAACUUAAUACCUAUAAAAAUACAAUCUUUAUAUUAUAAUAAUGAAAAAUUAACUUACAAAGCCA